AUGCGUGGAAGGCCAAAUUGCCGACUUUGUCCUCUUUGCGAACGGGAGCAAGAAUCCGGAGCGCACCUCUUCUUCAAGUGUCGCUUCACCAUCCGUCUUUGGAACUUAGCGAAUGCGUGGCUUCAUCUUGAGAGCAUCGACACCUCCGCUUGGCACCUUGAGAGCUCUGUCAAGGAUUGGUGGACAAAUUGUUCCAACAUGAACGCUGCCAAUCGGAAGGCCAUAUCGUCCCUCGCAAUGCUCAUCAAUUUGACCAUAUAGAACGAGAAGAAUGCCCGGCUGUUUCGCCACAAAAGCACUCCGCCUCCAAUCUUGCUCAAUAACAUCAAAGGAGAGGCCCACCUUUGGAUCACUGCGGGUGCAAAAAAAAAUUGGGGAUCAUUAUGCCUGGAGAGUAAUCAUUUUGUAACUCAGGGCUUGUAA
This 423-nucleotide ribosomal RNA is filed under the name Triticum aestivum (bread wheat). RNAcentral describes it as "partial small subunit ribosomal RNA". Lineage: Eukaryota; Viridiplantae; Streptophyta; Magnoliopsida; Poales; Poaceae. The record is from RNAcentral.